UGGGGAAUAUUGGGCAAUGGACGCAAGUCUGACCCAGCAACGCCGCGUGAAGGAAGAAGGCUUUCGGGUUGUAAACUUCUUUUAAGAGGGAACAGAAGAAGAGGGUACCUCUUGAAUAAGCCACGGCUAACUACGUGCCAGCAGCCGCGGUAAUACGUAGGUGGCAAGCGUUGUCCGGAUUUACUGGGUGUAAAGGGCGUGUAGCCGGGGAGACAAGUCAGAUGUGAAAUCUGGAGGCUCAACCUCCAAACUGCAUUUGAAACUGUUUCUCUUGAGUAUCGGAGAGGUAAUCGGAAUUCCUAGUGUAGCGGUGAAAUGCGUAGAUAUUAGGAAGAAUACCAGUGGCGAAGGCGGAUUACUGGACGACAACUGACGGUGAGGCGCGAAAGCGUGGGGAGCAAACAGG
RNAcentral lists this ribosomal RNA (406 nucleotides) under uncultured bacterium. RNAcentral describes it as "bacterial SSU rRNA". It matches the Rfam family "Bacterial small subunit ribosomal RNA", at positions 355 to 776 of the family's 1533-position model. The record is from RNAcentral.